CCUACGGGAGGCAGCAGUGAGGAAUAUUGGACAAUGGGCGCAAGUCUGAUCCAGCCAUGCCGCGUGCAGGAAGAAGCAUCUAUGGUGUGUAAACUGCUUUUGUACAGGAAGAAACACUCCCUCGUGAGGGAGCUUGACGGUACUGUAAGAAUAAGGACCGGCUAACUCCGUGCCAGCAGCCGCGGUAAUACGGAGGGUCCGAGCGUUAUCCGGAAUCAUUGGGUUUAAAGGGUCCGUAGGCGGUUUAAUAAGUCAGUGGUGAAAUCUGGUCGCUCAACGAUCAAACGGCCAUUGAUACUGUUAGACUUGAAUUAUAAGGAAGUAACUAGAAUAUGUAGUGUAGCGGUGAAAUGCUUAGAUAUUACAUGGAAUACCAAUUGCGAAGGCAGGUUACUACUUAUGGAUUGACGCUGAUGGACGAAAGCGUGGGGAGCGAACAGGAUUAGAUACCCUGGUAGUCCACGCCGUAAACGAUGGAUACUAGCUGUUCGGAGCAAUCUGAGUGGCUAAGCGAAAGUGAUAAGUAUCCCACCUGGGGAGUACGUUCGCAAGAUGAAACUCAAAGAGUAGUAGACGAGAGAGAGCGACGACGACGACGAGGAGGAGGNG
This 609-nucleotide ribosomal RNA is filed under the name uncultured bacterium. RNAcentral describes it as "bacterial SSU rRNA". It matches the Rfam family "Bacterial small subunit ribosomal RNA", at positions 338 to 943 of the family's 1533-position model. The record is from RNAcentral.